AUGAUGCCCCUCCACACAGUAGCCAGUGACAGCAUUUGGCUGAUGAUGCCUCUCCACACAGUAGCCAGUGACAGCAUUUGGCUGAUGAUGCCCCUCCACACAGUAGCCAGUGACACCAUUUGGCUGAUGAUGCCCCUCCACAUAGUAGCCAGUGACAGCAUUUGGCUGAUGAUGCCCCUCCACACAGUAGCCAGUGACAGCAUUUGGCUGAUGAUGCCUCUCCACAUAGUAGCCAGUGACACCAUUUGGCUGAUGAUGCCCCUCCACAUAGUAGCCAGUGACAGCAUUUGGCUGAUGAUGCCCCUCCACACAGUAGCCAGUGACAGCAUUUGGCUGAUGAUGCCCCUCCACACAGUAGCCAGUGACAGCAUUUGGCUGAUGAUGCCUCUCCACACAGUAGCCAGUGACACCAUUUGGCUGAUGAUGCCUCUCCACACAGUAGCCAGUGACAGCAUUUGGCUGAUGAUGCCUCUCCACACAGUAGCCAGUGACACCAUUUGGCUGAUGAUGCCUCUCCACACAGUAGCCAGUGACAGCAUUUGGCUGAUGAUGCCUCUCCACACAGUAGCCAGUGACAGCAUUUGGCUGAUGAUGCCUCUCCACACAGUAGCCAGUGACAGCAUUUGGCUGAUGAUGCCUCUCCACACAGCAGCCAGUGACACCAUUUGGCUGAUGAUGCCUCUCCACACAGUAGCCAGUGACAGCAUUUGGCUGAUGAUGCCUCUCCACACAGCAGCCAGUGACAGCAUUUGGCUGAUGAUGCCUCUCCACACAGUAGCCAGUGACAGCAUUUGGCUGAUGAUGCCUCUCCACACAGCAGCCAGUGACAGCAUUUGGCUGAUGAUGCCCCUCCACAGCAGCCAGACAGCAUUUGGGCCUAUUAUAAAAAUCACCAUAGCGCUGGUGGAAUUCAUAAAAAUGAUCCUCAACAAAAUACAGUCUUUACCAAUAACAACCUACAGUAUAUCCCCAACCACAAAGGUCCACCAAGUUUGGGGUAUUUUGCUAUUGCCCCCCCAAAUAACAAAAACUAUGCAAUAG
Molecule: long non-coding RNA, 1041 nt
Filed under: Oncorhynchus mykiss (rainbow trout)
Lineage: Eukaryota; Metazoa; Chordata; Actinopteri; Salmoniformes; Salmonidae
Description: lncRNA (ENSOMYG00000076111.1)
Source: RNAcentral